AUACGGAGGGUGCGAGCGUUAUCCGGAAUUACUGGGUUUAAAGGGUGCGUAGGCGGCCUGGUAAGUCAGGGGUGAAAGUCCAGGGCUUAACCGUGGGAUUGCCUUUGAUACUGCUGGGCUUGAAUGAGGUUGAGGUGGGCGGAAUGUGGCAUGUAACGGUGAAAUGUGUAGAUAUGCCAUAGAACACCGAUUGCGAAGGCAGCUUACUGGACCUUUAUUGACGCUGAGGCACGAAAGCGUGGGGAGCGAACAGGAUUAGAAACCCUAGUAGUCC
This 274-nucleotide ribosomal RNA is filed under the name uncultured bacterium. Its description in RNAcentral is "partial 16S ribosomal RNA". It matches the Rfam family "Bacterial small subunit ribosomal RNA", at positions 523 to 796 of the family's 1533-position model. The record is from RNAcentral.